RNAcentral lists this ribosomal RNA (253 nucleotides) under uncultured bacterium. RNAcentral's name for it is "partial 16S ribosomal RNA". It matches the Rfam family "Bacterial small subunit ribosomal RNA", at positions 524 to 776 of the family's 1533-position model. The record is from RNAcentral.
UACGAAGGGGGCUAGCGUUGUUCGGAAUCACUGGGCGUAAAGCGCACGUAGGCGGAUAUGUCAGUCAGGGGUGAAAUCCCGGGGCUCAGCCUCGGAACUGCCUUUGAUACAGCAUAUCUUGAGUCCGAUAGAGGUGGGUGGAAUUCCUAGUGUAGAGGUGAAAUUCGUAGAUAUUAGGAAGAACACCGGUGGCGAAGGCGGCCCACUGGAUCGGUACUGACGCUGAGGUGCGAAAGCGUGGGGAGCAAACAGG